Molecule: transfer-messenger RNA, 357 nt
Filed under: Candidatus Poribacteria bacterium
Lineage: Bacteria; Candidatus Poribacteria
Rfam family: transfer-messenger RNA
About the family: Bacterial tmRNA, also known as 10Sa RNA or SsrA, is named for its dual tRNA and mRNA-like properties.
Source: RNAcentral
GGGGGUGACCUUGGUUUCGACGGAGGUAAUUGCGAUACAGGUUGCAUGUCGAGGUCUCCGCAGGCCUCGUUAAAUAGGCGGAACAAUUAUAAUUGCUGAUCAAGAAUUAGCACUAGCUGCUUAAUACGCAGCUACGCUUGGCCAACCUGUUUCCCGUCAGGGAAGCUAAAGCGCCGCAAUACGGGAUAGCGGUUUGAUUGUUCUCAAGGGGCAUUCCGUGAACCUAAACUUGAGAUAGCCUUUCAUGAAUCCUGCACAGGGGAGCUUGAAUGGCAAAACUCAAAACCUGUGAUAAGCAUGUAGUAGCCUUUAUUAAUAUGCCUUCGGACGCGGGUUCAAUUCCCGCCACCUCCAUUA